AAGGAAAAGCAAUAUUGAUCUUCACAAAUUAUAAAAACUGAUCGGAAUGAUAUGUACAGAUCAGUAUUCGGCUGAGAGUCGGGAAAGCCCAUUAGAUCAUACUCCGGAAUGCCACUGUUCAUGCAGAAACUCGAGGAGGAUCGACACCUUCACCUGGUGCUCACUGGGACUGGGACUCAUGACAAGAAGAUUUUAAUUCCCCAGAACUCUUCGACGUCGAACUCCAUACCAGCUCGAUCUCUCCGUCGCCAACUUCAAACUUGGCCAAAAAGACGAUGAUGAUUACUGACUUGGUCGUGAUGCCAGGUAACUAUCCAUCCAUCACUAAGAGAACCAAAAUGUUUUGUUUAGUAAAUUAUUAGAUCCCAGUUGAAGAAAAAGGAGGUCGUCAGGUGUUAGCCUUGAUGCAAAGAACAUGGAACAUGGUCCAUGAUAGAAGAAACACAAACAGGAAGAAGAGAUGAUCUCCAUGUUCCUCCCUCUUAUUCAACAAUUUAUUGGUGCGUACUCCAUUGCGUUACCUCCUCCUCUGCAAACGG
RNAcentral lists this long non-coding RNA (539 nucleotides) under Musa acuminata (dwarf banana). RNAcentral describes it as "long non-coding RNA (MACU_LNC006146)". Lineage: Eukaryota; Viridiplantae; Streptophyta; Magnoliopsida; Zingiberales; Musaceae. The record is from RNAcentral.